RNAcentral lists this long non-coding RNA (691 nucleotides) under Solanum tuberosum (potato). Its description in RNAcentral is "long non-coding RNA (STUB_LNC008234)". The record is from RNAcentral. Lineage: Eukaryota; Viridiplantae; Streptophyta; Magnoliopsida; Solanales; Solanaceae.
UUUCCUUGUCCAUUAAUCUAACAUGUCUUAUGGUAGCCUUACUGUGUAAAAAAUGAGUUUUUCUUAUCAUUGGCAUUCUCAUGAUAGAUAUAUGUUCAUUAGUUCAUAGUGUUAUCUUUUAUCUUAUUUCAUUAUUUUAUUAGAUAUCUUGUGUUAGUAGUAUUUCAAUUAGUUCAUAUCUUCCUCUAUGUGUUGUUACCGUUAAGAAUGGAUGAGCUCAUGUUCGCCUACUGACUUUCAUUGGAAAAUUUGCUCUCGAAUAAUUUUGUAUCACUCUUGAUUAAUUCUUUUCAUUUACUUUGUUUACAUGUGAUGCUUCGCCGAGUCUAUUUGGACUCUUCCCAUUGCCUCUUUGCAUUUUCGAGUAACGAGUCAACCCUUCGGUGUUCAAGAGCGAAAUGGGAUUGACGUAUAGGUGUUUGGAGCCGAUAUACGAGAUUAUAUACACUAGUAUACACCUAGUGUAUACGAAAAUGAGGAAAUGGGCCUAAAGUCCCCGAAAUUCGAUUUUGUAUUUUGUUGGGCCUAAGCCUUUUUAUUUUAAGUACUAUUAUCUUGCUAGAACCUAGGACAAGUGGAAGAUGGGUCCAAAGCCCAAAGAAAGACAUCUUUCAAGAUUAGUUUAGGACAAGUAUAUUGGGCCUUUGGUCCCAAAACCAAAAAUUGGGCCCAAGUGCUAGCCCAGGCGGAC